AAAUCAAAAAAAAAAGAGAAAAAAAAGAAUGAUGAAUGUUAUUUUCUUAUCCUUUGUAGUAUCAUCGUCAUU
This 72-nucleotide non-coding RNA is filed under the name Aureoumbra lagunensis. The record is from RNAcentral. Lineage: Eukaryota; Pelagophyceae; Sarcinochrysidales; Sarcinochrysidaceae.